UGAGGAAUAUUGGACAAUGGGCGCAAGCCUGAUCCAGCCAUGCCGCGUGCAGGAUGACGGUACCUGAAGAAUAAGCACCGGCUAACUACGUGCCAGCAGCCGCGGUAAUACGUAGGGUGCAAGCGUUAAUCGGAAUUACUGGGCGUAAAGCGUGCGCAGGCGGUUAUGUAAGUCAGAUGUGAAAUCCCCGGGCUCAACCUGGGAAUGGCAUUUGAGACUGCAUGGCUAGAGUGUGUCAGAGGGGGGUAGAAUUCCACGUGUAGCAGUGAAAUGCGUAGAGAUGUGGAGGAAUACCGAUGGCGAAGGCAGCCCCCUGGGAUAACACUGACGCUCAUGCACGAAAGCGUGGGGAGCAAACAGGAUUAGAUACCCGUGUAGUCCCUGAGCGGGCUGGCAAGGCGCAU
Molecule: ribosomal RNA, 404 nt
Filed under: uncultured bacterium
Lineage: Bacteria
Description: bacterial SSU rRNA
Rfam family: Bacterial small subunit ribosomal RNA
Source: RNAcentral